ACCAGGCAUGGUGGUGAGUGCUUGUAGUCCCAGUUACUCGGGAGGCUGAGGUGGGAGGAUCACUUGAGCCCAGGAGUUCUGGGCUGAAGUGUGCUAUGCUGAUCAGGUGUCUGCACUAAGUUCAGCAUCAAUAUAGGGACCUUCCGGGAGCAGGGGACCACCAGGGUUGCCUAAGGUGGGGUGAAGCGGCCCAGGUCAGAAAUGGAGCAGGUCAAAACUCCCAUGCUGAUCAGUAGUGGGAUUGAUCCUGUGAAUAGCCACUGCACACCAGCCUGGGCAACACACGAAGACCCCAUCUCUU
Unclassified non-coding RNA from Callithrix jacchus (white-tufted-ear marmoset), 301 nucleotides. It matches the Rfam family "Metazoan signal recognition particle RNA". Rfam says of the family: The signal recognition particle (SRP) is a universally conserved ribonucleoprotein. It is involved in the co-translational targeting of proteins to membranes. NCBI's taxonomy places the organism in Eukaryota, Metazoa, Chordata, Mammalia, Primates, Cebidae. The record is from Ensembl.